This 637-nucleotide ribosomal RNA is filed under the name uncultured bacterium. Its description in RNAcentral is "bacterial SSU rRNA". It matches the Rfam family "Bacterial small subunit ribosomal RNA", at positions 607 to 1244 of the family's 1533-position model. The record is from RNAcentral.
GCUCAACCGAAGAAGUGCAUUGGAAACUGGGAGACUUGAGUGCAGAAGAGGACAGUGGAACUCCAUGUGUAGCGGUGAAAUGCGUAGAUAUAUGGAAGAACACCAGUGGCGAAGGCGGCUGUCUGGUCUGCAACUGACGCUGAGGCUCGAAAGCAUGGGUAGCGAACAGGAUUAGAUACCCUGGUAGUCCAUGCCGUAAACGAUGAUUACUAAGUGUUGGAGGGUUUCCGCCCUUCAGUGCUGCAGCUAACGCAUUAAGUAAUCCGCCUGGGGAGUACGACCGCAAGGUUGAAACUCAAAAGAAUUGACGGGGGCCCGCACAAGCGGUGGAGCAUGUGGUUUAAUUCGAAGCUACGCGAAGAACCUUACCAGGUCUUGACAUCUUCUGACAGUCUAAGAGAUUAGAGGUUCCCUUCGGGGACAGAAUGACAGGUGGUGCAUGGUUGUCGUCAGCUCGUGUCGUGAGAUGUUGGGUUAAGUCCCGCAACGAGCGCAACCCUUAUUACUAGUUGCCAGCAUUAAGUUGGGCACUCUAGUGAGACUGCCGGUGACAAACCGGAGGAAGGUGGGGACGACGUCAAAUCAUCAUGCCCCUUAUGACCUGGGCUACACACGUACUACAAUGGAUGGUACAACG